This 20-nucleotide small nuclear RNA is filed under the name Arabidopsis thaliana (thale cress). RNAcentral describes it as "snRNA_15078". The record is from RNAcentral. Lineage: Eukaryota; Viridiplantae; Streptophyta; Magnoliopsida; Brassicales; Brassicaceae.
AAGGACUUUGAAAAGAGAGU